GCAAAAUGGGGAUGCAUUGUGAAGAAAUCAUCCUUGUAAAGCUAUUGGUUCUGGUCAUCAGACUCUAUCCAAUGCUUUAGUGAUGCUGCUGCUGAUCUAUUUGGGAAGUUGGCUGGCUCUCAAGGCAGAGUCUCUUCUCAAAGGCUGUUUCACAGUGAAAAUAUGCUCAGUGCAGCCGAGUGCAUGAAUGAAAAAGCCUCCAGUACCUUCUAGUCUGGCAAAAUGCAGCACAAAACUCAACUUAGUCUGCCCUUUCUACUAUCCCAGGCUUCUACCUGUCCUCUAGAUUGCUCCCUUGGUGUCCGUCUACCACGCACAGCAGAAUGCCCCAAGUAACUGGAAUGAUCUUUGACUUGCUCAUCAAACACCUUCUCUCUCCACAUUCAAAUAUCUUCUGAAAACCAACUUCUUCCUUGAAUACUUCCUACACUGGUCUCUUCACCAAUGCUGUCUGUACACCCUCCUGCGCCUAACCUGUUGCAGUGUAUUUGCUUACUGUUUUUGAUUGUAUGCCCCUUGCAACAGUCCAGUUUUCCAAUUUAUCAAGAUCUCACUGAAUUCAAGUCAAACCCCAAUAAAAGACAGAUUGCCAGCAAUCAUGAAGGUGGCUGGGGAGGAAAGAGUAGAGGCGUGGAGAACAGAGGCCUAACUGCCUACCCACUAGGCAGCACCAGCAGCAAACAGUGUCCUUCACAAACACUACUCAGUAGGCAUCAGAAACUGUAACAUCUCAGCAGGGUAGUGGAAUAACAGGGCAAUGCAAACCAGACAAUAACCCGGGGAAAAGUUUAAUGAUACUGAAGGCUUCAGAAUCACCCCCUCAUCAAAUGCAGGAGCAAGAGGACAUUUUGCUGUACAUCCCAUUAAUAUUGUACAGGCAUAGAGCUGCUUUUAUGCUCUGUUUCCACUCUGUCUGUCAUAUCUACAUACAGUGACAUAGAAGUAAAGAUUGUUUGUUUGUAACUUUGAUUCUUAGUGCAAUGAAAGAGGGUGAUUGUGGCAGAUUUUUUCUUUUACUGCUUUCUUCUCAGUAUGAAACUCUUCUAAAGACCCUUCAACACAUGAAAUUCUCCCAGGCCCUAACUUCAUCUUCUCUGCUGAUGAAUUCUUCCAAGGAAUCCCUCAGAGGUCUAACAAUGGGAAGGUGUCAUUCGGGAUGACAUCUUGCCAAGAAUAGUACAUUCUUCUGUGAUGAAAUUUUCCGAGUCAUGUUUCCAUUAGAAAAUGAUCUCAAGAAUCAUCUCCAACAUAGACACCUGAAAUUAAAAUGUUCUGUUAGAGUAUCUAUACUGUAUCAAGAUGAAAGAAAUUCACACAAUGUACAACUAGAACAAAACUUGCCCUAGGAAGAACACCUCUAUUUCAAGAUAACUUUUAAAGAUUCAGUUGUUGGAGACAUUGUAGGUCUUUGGUGUUGAUGAUGUGUUUUAACUGAAAUAUUUAUUUGGUGGAAAAGUUCUUUAAGCCCCUUUUUAAAUGAAUUUCUGCCUACAGUUUGAUUUAUUUGUGUCUCCUAAAUUUUUGUUUUUUCUUCUAAUUUCUGUUGAUAUUCAUCCUAUAACCUGAUUCACCUUCCAUGACUGAUAUCACAAAAAGAAGCCUACAGUGCAACAAGAAGUUUGUAGAACCAUAAAUAUUUGAUCAUACACUGGAAAGAUAACAAUGUUUUUAUAUCUGUCUAAACCAGCCAUGAAUAUUUUAUUUUAUUUUAUCUUUAAACAGAAAUGAUGGUAGGCCUAAAUGGAGUCCUGAACUUCUCUUUCUAGGUUCAUGGUGCUCAUUUAACCUUAAGGUUUAAGUGAAACAAGCUUUGUGGUUUCAGCUUGUCUUCUGAAGGCCAACAGAGAUAAACAUACCAGCUCAUGCAGUUCAGCAAAAAAAAACAAAAAAACAAAAAAACCUAAAACAAGUAAUCAAAGGAGAACUAUAAAGAUCAAGUUAAAAUGGGAUUUUUUUGUUUUUUUCCCCAAAUGUGAACAGGUGCUUAGAUGCAAAGACAGAAUGUGGCAUUAAUUAGUCUGAGUUUCAUAUGGCAUAGGAAUAAGCUUUAAUGUACUUCUGAGAAAUCUCUUCCUUCACCGUAGCUGCUUUGGAAAAAUGUUUGUACUACUUGGCUCACCAAAGGCAUCAGAGAAAACUUGGACCAAGCAUGCAUCGUUCUCUCCUAUCUUAAGUGAACCAGUAGGUACCAGUAUGUUUCAGAGAGGUGAAAAUGACACCCCCUUCUGCUAAAAAAAAAUUUCCAAAACAAAAAGACCCCCCACAAACUUGUGAACACCCCCGUCCUUAAAUUAAUAAAAUCUAAAAUGUCAAGACCCCUCCCCUGAGG
RNAcentral lists this long non-coding RNA (2329 nucleotides) under Gopherus agassizii (Agassiz's desert tortoise). RNAcentral's name for it is "lncRNA (ENSGAGG00000013806.1)". Lineage: Eukaryota; Metazoa; Chordata; Testudines; Testudinidae. The record is from RNAcentral.